CCCGCUGAACUUAAGCAUAUCAAUAAGCGGAGGAAAAGAAACUAACAAGGAUUCCCCUAGUAACUGCGAGUGAAGCGGGAAAAGCUCAAAUUUAAAAUCUGGCGGUCUUUGGCCGUCCGAGUUGUAAUUUAGAGAAGCGUCUUCCGCGCUGGACCGUGCACAAGUCUCCUGGAAUGGAGCGUCAUAGAGGGUGAGAAUCCCGUCUUUGGCACGGAUGCCCGGUGCUUCUGUGAUGCGCUCUCGAAGAGUCGAGUUGUUUGGGAAUGCAGCUCAAAAUGGGUGGUGAACUCCAUCUAAAGCUAAAUAUUGGCGAGAGACCGAUAGCGAACAAGUACCGUGAGGGAAAGAUGAAAAGCACUUUGGAAAGAGAGUGAAACAGUACGUGAAAUUGUUGAAAGGGAAACGCUUGAAGUCAGUCGUGCCCUUCGGGAUUCAGCCUUGCUUCUGCUUGGUUUACUUCCUGUUGGGUGGGUCAACGUCAGUUUCGAUCGGAGGAGAAAGGCUUGGGGAAGGUGGCAGCAUUCGUGCUGUGUUAUAGCCCCUUGUUGUAUACUUCGAUUGGGACUGAGGACCGCAGCGCGCCUUUACGGCCGGGGUUCGCCCACGUACGCGCUUAGGAUGUUGGCAUAAUGGCUUUAAGCGACCCGUCUUGAAACACGG
This 660-nucleotide ribosomal RNA is filed under the name uncultured fungus. Its description in RNAcentral is "eukaryotic LSU rRNA". It matches the Rfam family "Eukaryotic large subunit ribosomal RNA", at positions 24 to 664 of the family's 3401-position model. Lineage: Eukaryota; Fungi. The record is from RNAcentral.